AAACAACCAAGUACAAUGGUAUGACAAGGGCGGCUCUGUGCCUAAGUAAGUCAUGCGGAUCAAAUUGGACAUAAUUUAAAGAUUGGGCCGUGUCACGGAGAGAGCCAUUGAGGGAGGGAGAAGAGAGAGAACCUGAGGAAAUAGGUCCAAGGGAUUAGCACCGGGUCCUGAUGGAGGGAACUACAGCUUACUGUGGAGCCUGAACUGGGUCAGUUUAUUGGCCACUUGCAGAAGGUUCAU
Long non-coding RNA from Lolium perenne, 240 nucleotides. RefSeq lists it as uncharacterized. The record is from RefSeq and is a predicted model, not a curated record. Lineage: Eukaryota; Viridiplantae; Streptophyta; Magnoliopsida; Poales; Poaceae.